Molecule: ribosomal RNA, 433 nt
Filed under: uncultured bacterium
Lineage: Bacteria
Description: partial 16S ribosomal RNA
Rfam family: Bacterial small subunit ribosomal RNA
Source: RNAcentral
AACGAACGCUGGCGGCAUGCCUAACACAUGCAAGUCGAACGGAACCUUCGGGUUUAGUGGCGCCUGGAUGCGUAACGCGUGGGAACACGCCCUUAGAUUCGGAACAUCUCUCCGAGAGGGCUUCUAAUAACUGAUAAUGUCUUCGGACCAAAGAUGUAUCGCCUUUGGGUGGGGCCGCGUUGGUUUAGCUAGUUGGUUGGGUUAAAGCCUACCAAGGCGACGAUCCAGAGCUGGUCUGAGAGCAGGAUCAGCGAGACUGGGACUGAGACACGGCCCAGACUGCUACGAGAGGCAGCGGUGGUGGAUAUUGGGGUAGGAGCGAGAUGCUGAUACAGCGAGGGCGGGUGAGUGAUGAAGGCCUUGGGAUUGGAAAGCGCUUUUAACGGGGAUGAGAAUGACGGUACCGGGUAAAGAAGCACCGGCUAACUCCGUG